Molecule: long non-coding RNA, 535 nt
Filed under: Androctonus crassicauda
Lineage: Eukaryota; Metazoa; Arthropoda; Arachnida; Scorpiones; Buthidae
Source: RNAcentral
CGUCACUCACUCCAAAAGUAAUGUCCUAUUAUUUUUUAAGUGUUUUGUUCUACAGCUUUCAUUUUACUUGCAGAUCGGAAAUUCUUUCGUUAAGUUCAUUUAAUCUUUUUUUAUACAUAAUUGCUGUCACUCUACUGUUUAUCGCUAUCUCAAAACGAAUAUCUGUAUAUCCACAUGGUAAAAUCAAUGACACAUAUGGGACAAAAUUAAUAAAGUUGCUUGCAUUAUAUUUGAACACAUAAAACAAAAAAAAAAAUUUGAUCCAAUAAACUGACGAAUGUCUUCAUAUCACUCAUCAGUUUGAUGACGACGAAUCCUUUGUGGCCAUGGCCAAAUAUAUAGGUAUUGCUACUAUAUACAGGCACUUGUUUUAAGAAGGCAAAAAGCAGUUGAAAGAGAAGAUACUAUAUGGAAAAAUGAGAUUUUGUUUCUGUUUCACCUAUAAAUCAAUAACAAUGAUGUAGAAUAUUUUUUCCCUUAAAUUUUGGAAGUUAUAUAAUAUUUAUCUUUUCUGUUGUUUUAGUUUACGAGAGGG